AUUGAACGCUGGCGGAAUGCUUUACACAUGCAAGUCGAACGGUAACAGGCCUUCGGGCGCUGACGAGUGGCGAACGGGUGAGUAAUGCAUCGGAACGUGCCCAGAGGUGGGGGAUAACGCAGCGAAAGCUGUGCUAAUACCGCAUAUUAUCUGAGGAUGAAAGCGGGGGACUAAGCAGCAAUGUUUGGCCUCGCGCCUUUGGAGCGGCCGAUGUCAGAUUAGGUAGUUGGUGGGGUAAAGGCCUACCAAGGCGACGAUCCGUAGCGGGUCUGAGAGGAUGAUCCGCCACACUGGGACUGAGACACGGCCCAGACUCCUACGGGAGGCAGCAGUGGGAAUUUUGGACAAUGGAGGAAACUCUGACCCAGCGACGCCGCGUGCGGGAUGAAGGCCUU
RNAcentral lists this ribosomal RNA (395 nucleotides) under uncultured bacterium. RNAcentral's name for it is "bacterial SSU rRNA". It matches the Rfam family "Bacterial small subunit ribosomal RNA", at positions 30 to 418 of the family's 1533-position model. The record is from RNAcentral.